Molecule: long non-coding RNA, 1971 nt
Organism: Macaca fascicularis (crab-eating macaque)
Lineage: Eukaryota; Metazoa; Chordata; Mammalia; Primates; Cercopithecidae
Source: Ensembl
UUUUUUUUUUUUUUUUUUUGCUGGGAACCCUUUCUCAAUAAAUCCCUUGCACAAAGAUCUCUGACUCAGGUUCUGCUUCUAUGCGGCUGACGACGACACGUCAUUUGCUUUCUUUCUUUAUAAAAUCAUGGGGUGUAAAGGGUCCCUCCAGGCAGGAGUCUGGCUUCCUCCUGGGUAGGAGUCUGCGCCAUUUUUGAAGCUUUCCAAGCAGCAUCCCCCUUCUCCACAUCACCGUGGACAACUAUCUUACCAUGUGCGCAGGAGGGCUCCAGAGGACACGUGAACAUGGAUGUUGCGAUCCCAGCUUCCCAAGUAGCUCUGGCCAUGUCAUGUCUGCAGGGCGACAUCAAUGGGAAAACCACAGGUUCGGCAGGCCAAAGUCUGAAUCCCACCUGUAUUUGUUUUCCAGGGCUGCAGUAACAACGUGUCACAAACUGGGUUACUUAAAAUGAUAGAAACGUGUUGCCUCACAGUUCUGGAGGCUGGAAGUCCAAAAUGAAGGUGUUGGCAGUGUCAUGCUCUCCCCAAAGCCUGUAGGUAAGGAAGAUCCUGCCUUCAAUCUUCCAGCUUCUGGUGUUUGCCAGGGAUUCUGGCUUCCCUAGCGAGUAGGAAUUGCAUCGCUGCUAUCUGCCCCGGUGUGUCUCCUCUCUUCUUCCUUCCUCCUCCUCCUCCUUCUCCUUCUAGACAGGGUCUCACUCUGUCACCCAGGCUGGAGUGCAGCAAUGCGAUCAAGGCUCACUGCAGCCUCCACUUCCCAGAUUUAAGUGAUCCUCCCACCUCAGCCUCUCAAGUAGCUGGGACUACAGAAGUAUGCCACCACACUUAACUUAAAAUUUUUUGUAGAGACAGGAUCUCACUACAUUGCCCAGACUUGUCUCGAGCUCCUGGGCUCAAGCAGUCCUCCCACCUUGGCCUCCAAAAGUGCUGGGAGUACAGAUGCAAGCCACUGCCUGGCCCCUUACUUUUUUUUUUUUUUUUUUGAGAUGGAGUUUUGCCCUUGUUGCCCUGGCUGGAGUGCAGUGGCAUGAUCUAAGCUCACCGUAACCUGUGCCUCCUGGGUUCAGACAAUUCUCCUGCCUCAGCCUCACAAGUAGCUGGGAUUACAGGCAUGCACCACCAUACCCAGCUAAUUUUUUUUUUUUGUAUUUUAGUAGAGAUGGGGUUUCAUUAUGUUGGUCAGGCUGGUCUCAAACUCCUAACCUCAGGUGAUCCACCUGCCUUGGCCUUCCAAAGUGCUGGGAUUACAGGCACAUGCCACCGUGCCCGGCUGGCCCCCCACUUCUUAUAAGGACACCAAUCAUCUUUGAUUAAAGGCUCCACUCACUCCAGUAUGAUCUCAUCUUAACUAACUGCGUCUGUAAUGACCCAGUUUCCAAAUAAGGUUAUAGUCUGAGACUUCAGCAUAGCUUUUUUGGGGGACGGAAUUCAACCCAUAUCAGCAUCUCUGCCAUUAGUUAGCAGUGGGAUGCCUCAAGUCAUGUAACCUCUGCUUCAGUUUUUUCAGCUGUAGGAAUGAGAAUACCAAGGUGAUACGGCUAGGGAGUGGAACAUGUGGGAUCGUGAACUUUCUGCUGUGGUACCUGGCCCAGGGAGCUAGAUGCACAUCAACAGCGAUGCUCUCCUUAGCAGCAUUCUCCUGGGUGCCCAAAGGCUAUCAUUACAGCCCCCUCAUCCUUCCCCCACCCCACCAAGCUUCCCCCACACUCACUGCUCUGUAGGAGAGCUUAGCUCUUCCCUAGAGACUAGUUUGUAUUAAUAAAAGACGGCCGGGCGCGGUGGCUCAAGCCUGUAAUCCCAGACUCCUUUGGGAGGCCGAGACGGGCAGAUCACGAGGUCAGGAGAUCGAGACCAUCCUGGCUAACACGGUGAAACCCCGUCUCUACUAAAAAUACAAAAAACUAGCCGCGCAAGGUGAGCCUGUAGCCCCAGCUACUCAGGAGGCUGAGGCAGGAGAAUGGCGUAAACCCGGGA